This 253-nucleotide ribosomal RNA is filed under the name uncultured bacterium. RNAcentral describes it as "partial 16S ribosomal RNA". It matches the Rfam family "Bacterial small subunit ribosomal RNA", at positions 524 to 776 of the family's 1533-position model. The record is from RNAcentral.
UACGUAGGGUGCAAGCGUUGUCCGGAAUUAUUGGGCGUAAAGAGCUCGUAGGCGGCUUGUCGCGUCGGCUGUGAAAUCCCGUGGCUCAACUGCGGGUCUGCAGCCGAUACGGGCAGGCUAGAGUUCGGUAGGGGAGACUGGAAUUCCUGGUGUAGCGGUGAAGUGCGCAGAUAUCAGGAGGAACACCGGUGGCGAAGGCGGGUCUCUGGGCCGAUACUGACGCUGAGGAGCGAAAGCGUGGGGAGCGAACAGG